GAUGAACGCUAGCUACAGGCUUAACACAUGCAAGUCGAGGGGAAACGAUAUUAGAAGCUUGCUUCCGAUAGGCGUCGACCGGCGCACGGGUGAGUAACGCGUAUCCAACCUGCCCACCACUUGGGGAUAACCUUGCGAAAGUAAGACUAAUACCCAAUGAUAUCUCAAGAAGACAUCUGAAUGAGAUUAAAGAUUUAUCGGUGAUGGAUGGGGAUGCGUCUGAUUAGCGUGUUGGCGGGGUAACGGCCCAACAAGGCGACGAUCAGUAGGGGGUCUGAGAGGAAGGUGCCCCACAUUGGAACUGAGACACGGUCCAAACUCCUACGGGAGGCAGCAGUGAGGAAUAUUGGUCAAUGGGCGAGAGCCUGAACCAGCCAAGUAGCGUGCAGGAUGACGGCCCUAUGGGUUGUAAACUGCUUUUAUAAGGGAAUAAAGUGAGCCUCGUGAGGCUUUUUGCAUGUACCUUAUGAAUAAGGACCGGCUAAUUCCGUGCCAGCCGCCGCAGUAA
RNAcentral lists this ribosomal RNA (508 nucleotides) under uncultured bacterium. RNAcentral's name for it is "partial 16S ribosomal RNA". It matches the Rfam family "Bacterial small subunit ribosomal RNA", at positions 28 to 523 of the family's 1533-position model. The record is from RNAcentral.